This 1729-nucleotide long non-coding RNA is filed under the name Homo sapiens (human). RNAcentral describes it as "non-protein coding lnc-CRYBA4-20:1". Lineage: Eukaryota; Metazoa; Chordata; Mammalia; Primates; Hominidae. The record is from RNAcentral.
AUUUGGUAAUGGGGCCUGUUUCACCGCCAUUUGUGCAUCAGCUCACUGCCUCUGCGGGGAAAGAUACCUAGGCAUUGUGGAGAGGACUUGCUAUUGGGAGCUUGGGCCCCAAAGUCAGAAUGCCCGGGCUCCAAUCUCUGGGCUGUGCCUGUGCUGAGCUGUGUGGGGGUGAGUGACUUCCCCUGCUCUGCCUCAGUUUCCUCUGCUCUAAAAUGAGUCCAAUGGUAGAAUCCACCUCUGAGGCAUUUGUGAGGGUCAACAGAGAUGGUGUGGGUUAGGGUUAAGUGCUCGCACUUACAAGGGGCUUCAUUGUUUCCAGCGGGCGUUCAUGGACUCGCUUGUAGCUGCAGUGAGGCCUUGAAUGAGUUAAUUAAAUUCAGGGAGUCCUGGCUUUUCCAGCUGUAAAAUGAGAAAUGUAUGCUGGCUGGUCUAGAAAGUUACUGCUGGCUCUGAAAUUCAAGAGUUGUUGGAUUGUAACAGUAUAGUUGGAAAAAGGAAAGGAGGGAGAAAAAGAGAGAGAGAGAGAAGAGAGGGGAGAGAAAGAAGAGAGGAAGAGAGAAAAGAGAGGGAAAGAGAGAGAAGAAAGAGAAUGAGAUAGAAAAGAGAGUGAGAAGAAGGGGGAGAGGGAGAAAGAGAAGGGAAGGGGGAGGGAGGGAGAGACACUGUGUAAGAGCAGAUGCCUUAAGCAGAAGGAAAAAGUCCCUAAGUGACAAGAAGCUCUGAGUUCACCAAAAUGCUUAACCAAGAUAAGAAGGAUGUAACUGAUGUUGGAAAGAUUGUUAUGAGAUUAAUAAAAGUGAUUAAGGGAUUAAGACUUCUCAAAAGAGAUAGUGAAGGGACCUCCAAUGGGAAAAUCCUCCCUCACCCUCUGUACCCAGCCUCUCUUCUCGGUUUUUAAGUCCUCAGUCAUGUAGGCAUCUAACAAAAUCGUCUCAGCAGAUGCUCAAAUAGAAUAAAUAGAAUCCUGGCUUAAGCCCAUCUUAGACAUUGGGAGAGGUCCCCUGUGACACACACACACACAGUCAAAUAACUGGAUUUAUUUCUGGGAAUGUCUGGAGGAAUUUAAGGUAUGCCUUGAGUCAUGGGUCCAGGGUCAAGGUUAAUCUGUGGGGCUGUUCUACUGAGCACAUAAGUCCUAGAUAGACACGCCUGUAGGGGAACAUAGAUAUGAACUAGGCAUCAGGAGGGAGCCUGGGUAGGUUGGGGGCAGAAGGUGUACUUAGAACUGGGAGAUCCUGGGGAUGUCAAUCUCAGUUUUGACAUAUGGCAGGUACUCAAAAGAAGAAAAAUGCCAUCCCCUUCCACUGCUUCAACCCUAUCCUCAGUUUUCCCACCUGCAACCUCGGAACAAGGAUACUUCUCCAAGACACAAUGGGUGGGAAAGCACUUUACAAAGGAAUCACUGGCAUUCCUUCCCAAAGGGUUUUCCAGCACCCUUGUUGGAAGAUUCUUGACUUUUCUGUUGUUCUAGAAUAACAAACAGAAACCCGGACCCACUGUCCUGCUCUUCCAGCAAUUUUCCCACAGCAGGGGGUAGGGUGGUCAGCUCCAGAGUUGGAAAGGUGGUCCCAGUCACUUUCAGGUUCAAAACCCACCUCCAUCUCUUACCAGUUGUGGGUGUGAUCUCUGUUUCCUCAUCUGAAAAAUGGCAGUGAUUUUACUGGGUUAGCUGUGAGGGGAAAAUAAAAUAAUGCACAAAAAUAGCCUGGGAUGGUGCUUGACAUACGGC